Molecule: long non-coding RNA, 557 nt
Filed under: Trifolium pratense (red clover)
Lineage: Eukaryota; Viridiplantae; Streptophyta; Magnoliopsida; Fabales; Fabaceae
Description: long non-coding RNA (TPRA_LNC004825)
Source: RNAcentral
UGGAAAAGAACGUUAAUUUCUACCUUACAGAGUAUGCUUGUGGGUAGGUGACUAGUUUUAGGCAAACGUGACAACUUAUAAUUUAGGGGUCCACAGGGCGAUGAGACCAAAGUUUUAACGAAAAAGUGGAGUUCUGGAUCACUUUAUUAAUUGGUAGCGAUUUUGCGCACUUGCAGAGCCGACCGUCACUAUUCAUCUUCUUAUUUUAAAUUAUUAUUUGAAUGUUUAUCUGAUUUGGUUGGGAUAAUUAUGUAUUUUUAUGCAAGUUUAUGGACAUUAUGCUAUUUCAUGUAUACUUUCUUUUGUUUUUUCAUUCUAAUAAUACUUUUGGUGAGAUGGUAGAGGAGUGGUAGUGCAUUGAGGUGCCAACAUAGUUGGGAUGUCGAUGAAUUAUUAUGAUGCCAUGCUCUCCAUUUUUGGAAAAAAAAAUGUAUACUUUCAUAUUUUUUAACGAGUUUUAAUUUAUAUUUAUGUUUAUAAUUAUAUAAAAAAUAUCUCCCACAAUAAUUUAGAAUUUAUUAAAUUUGAUGAAUUAAAUAUGAUUUUUUUAUGCGCCA